RNAcentral lists this ribosomal RNA (810 nucleotides) under Cerotelium fici. RNAcentral describes it as "partial 28S large subunit ribosomal RNA". It matches the Rfam family "Eukaryotic large subunit ribosomal RNA", at positions 100 to 870 of the family's 3401-position model. The record is from RNAcentral. Lineage: Eukaryota; Fungi; Basidiomycota; Pucciniomycetes; Pucciniales; Phakopsoraceae.
GGGAAAAGCCCAAAUUUGUAAUCUGGCUUUCUUUUGAAGGUCUGAGUUGUAAUUUUAAGAACUGUUUUCAGUGCUGGACCACACACAAGUUUGUUGGAAAACAAUAUCAUUGAGGGUGAUAAUCCCGUUCAUGGUGUGGACUACCAGUGCAAUAUGAUACAGUCUCUAAGAGUCGAGUUGUUUGGGAAUGCAGCUCAAAGUGGGUGGUAAAUUCCAUCUAAGGCUAAAUAUUGAUGAGAGACCGAUAGCAAACAAGUACCGUGAGGGAAAGAUGAAAAGAACUUUGGAAAGAGAGUUAACAGUAUGUGAAAUUGUUAGAAGGGAAACACUUGAAGUUAGACAUGCUAUAGCCAGUUCAAACCCUUUUUUCUAAGGGAGUAUUCUGGUAUCUUUAGCAGAUCAACAUCAAUUCUGUUUGGUGCUGGAUAAGGGUUGUGGAAAUGUGGCAGUCUUUGGCUGUGUUUAUAGUCCAUGACUUUGAUAUGGUGCCUGGGAUUGAGGUAUGCAGUAAGCCUUUUAUUUUUGAGAGGUGGGUCUAUAUUAUAGAUCUUCUUGCUGAGGAUGUUGAUGUAAUAGCUUUAAAUGACCCGUCUUGAAACACGGACCAAGGAGUCUAACAUGCUUGCAAGUAUUUGGGUGAUUGAAACCCUUUUGCGUAAUGAAAGUAAAUGUAAAUGGGAUCUGUCAAAGGAGCACCAUUGACCAGUCCUAAUUAUUUAUAUGUUGGUACUGAGUAAGAGCAAGUAUGUUGGGACCCGAAAGAUGGUGAACUAUGCCUGAAUAGGGUGAAGCCAGAGGAAACUCUGGUGG